Molecule: ribosomal RNA, 254 nt
Filed under: uncultured bacterium
Lineage: Bacteria
Description: partial 16S ribosomal RNA
Rfam family: Bacterial small subunit ribosomal RNA
Source: RNAcentral
UACGUAGGGUGCGAGCGUUGUCCGGAAUUAUUGGGCGUAAAGAGCUCGUAGGCGGUGUGUCGCGUCGGCCGUGAAAACCUGCAGCUUAACUGUGGGCUUGCGGUCGAUACGGGCAUCACUGGAGUUCGGCAGGGGAGACUGGAAUUCCUGGUGUAGCGGUGAAAUGCGCAGAUAUCAGGAGGAACACCCGUGGCGAAGGCGGCUCUCUGGGACGGUACUGACGCUGAGACGCGAAAGCGUGGGGAGCGAACAGG